GAUGUCUACUUGGAGGUUGUGGCCUUGAGCGUGGCUUUCGGAGCUAACGCGUUAAGUAGACCGCCUGGGGAGUACGGUCGCAAGAUUAAAACUCAAAUGAAUUGACGGGGGCCCGCACAAGCGGUGGAGCAUGUGGUUUAAUUCGAUGCAACGCGAAGAACCUUACCUACUCUUGACAUCCAGAGAAGUCGACGGAGACGUUGAUGUUCCACUUCGGGAGCUCUGAGACAGGUGCUGCAUGGCUGUCGUCAGCUCGUGUUGUGAAAUGUUGGGUUA
RNAcentral lists this ribosomal RNA (276 nucleotides) under Vibrio sp. 17_1a. Its description in RNAcentral is "partial 16S ribosomal RNA". It matches the Rfam family "Bacterial small subunit ribosomal RNA", at positions 808 to 1082 of the family's 1533-position model. The record is from RNAcentral. Lineage: Bacteria; Pseudomonadati; Pseudomonadota; Gammaproteobacteria; Vibrionales; Vibrionaceae.